CUCCUACGGGAGGCUGCAGUGGGGAAUUUUGGACAAUGGGCGCAAGCCUGAUCCAGCAAUGCCGCGUGCAGGAUGAAGGCCUUCGGGUUGUAAACUGCUUUUGUACGGAACGAAACGGCUUCUUCUAAUACAGGAGGCUAAUGACGGUACCGUAAGAAUAAGCACCGGCUAACUACGUGCCAGCAGCCGCGGUAAUACGUAGGGCGCGAGCGUUAAUCGGAAUUACUGGGCGUAAAGCGUGCGCAGGCGGUUAUGUAAGACAGAGGUGAAAUCCCCGGGCUCAACCUGGGAAUUGCCUUUGUGACUGCAUAGCUAGAGUACGGUAGAGGGGGAUGGAAUUCCGCGUGUAGCAGUGAAAUGCGUAGAUAUGCGGAGGAACACCGAUGGCGAAGGCAAUCCCCUGGACCUGUACUGACGCUCAUGCACGAAAGCGUGGGGAGCAAACAGGAUUAGAUACCCUGGUAGUCCACGCCCUAAACGAUGUCAACUGGUUGUUGGGUCUUCACUGACUCAGUAACGAAGCUAACGCGUGAAGUGACCG
Molecule: ribosomal RNA, 541 nt
Filed under: uncultured bacterium
Lineage: Bacteria
Description: bacterial SSU rRNA
Rfam family: Bacterial small subunit ribosomal RNA
Source: RNAcentral